AUUGAAGAGUUCUAACAUCUUAUCUAGUUUGUUUCUAUAUUUCAUUAUUGAAUCAUUUGAACAUUUCAAAUGAUUCAGGCCAGACACACCCAUGCCCAGAUAGGUCAUCUGUAAUGAAAUAUUAAUAUAUUUUUCUGGCACUUAGGUCCACAUACAUCACUAUAUAUGAGACUUAAAACUUUAUCAGCUCUUUCAUCUUUUCCAUUAAAAGGUGAUUUUGUCAUCU
This 226-nucleotide long non-coding RNA is filed under the name Elaeis guineensis (African oil palm). RNAcentral's name for it is "long non-coding RNA (EGUI_LNC071521)". Lineage: Eukaryota; Viridiplantae; Streptophyta; Magnoliopsida; Arecales; Arecaceae. The record is from RNAcentral.